GGUUCUGCAAUGUGCGGAAUAUGAGUGGCGCCUUGCAAAUCUGUAAUGGGCCAUGUAAUUAUGCUCUAUGCUUUCUCUGUUUUUUUUUUUAGGUAUGCUCUGUGCUAUUAUUUAAUUUGAAAAUGUAGCAAAUUUGUGUUUUAUGCAUGAACAUAAAAUCAGGAUUGAGUCGAUGCAUCUUUGCGAAAGCCCAUUUUUUAAACAUAUAAAAUAAGUAUAUUUUUAAGUUUAUUCUUUCCACGAAAUGGGGUUAUGAAGAAACACCAUUUCUAUUGUUGUUUUUGUUAAAUAAUUUUUACAUUAUA
Molecule: long non-coding RNA, 305 nt
Filed under: Salvia miltiorrhiza (redroot sage)
Lineage: Eukaryota; Viridiplantae; Streptophyta; Magnoliopsida; Lamiales; Lamiaceae
Description: long non-coding RNA (SMIL_LNC009695)
Source: RNAcentral